UACGGAGGAUCCAAGCGUUAUCCGGAUUUAUUGGGUUUAAAGGGUGCGUAGGCGGACCUUUAAGUCAGUGGUGAAAGUUUGCGGCUCAACCGUAAAAUUGCCAUUGAAACUGAAGGUCUUGAGUGCAAAUGAGGUAGGCGGAAUGUGUUGUGUAGCGGUGAAAUGCUUAGAUAUAACACAGAACCCCGAUUGCGAAGGCAGCUUACUGGGAUGCAACUGACGCUGAGGCACGAAAGCGUGGGGAUCAAACAGG
This 253-nucleotide ribosomal RNA is filed under the name uncultured Paludibacter sp. Its description in RNAcentral is "partial 16S ribosomal RNA". It matches the Rfam family "Bacterial small subunit ribosomal RNA", at positions 524 to 776 of the family's 1533-position model. Lineage: Bacteria; Pseudomonadati; Bacteroidota; Bacteroidia; Bacteroidales; Paludibacteraceae. The record is from RNAcentral.